RNAcentral lists this long non-coding RNA (868 nucleotides) under Anser brachyrhynchus (Pink-footed goose). RNAcentral describes it as "lncRNA (ENSABRG00000001113.1)". The record is from RNAcentral. Lineage: Eukaryota; Metazoa; Chordata; Aves; Anseriformes; Anatidae.
CUCAGAGCACAAGGUCUUCCAGCAAGGGAUGACACAACCAAUGUAUUUAAAAUGCGAUCACUAAGAGGCAUGGAGCCCACCUACCUCUAAACCAACUGAGAACACCAACCACCAAACAUCUCCUGCUCACGAGGUGUAGGCAAAGUCCACCCCGUGCAGUUUGCUGAAAAAAAAAAAACCAAGAAGUUUUGUAUCAUCAUGACCUGGGUUAUCCCAAAAGCCACACAGGGCAGUCAAAAGACUCCCAUUGGACUUUUGUGGGGAGAAAGAGAAAGGACAGAGACCAAGAGGAAGGCUCUGCCCCACGAGAACAAGCAGAUCUCUUCUCGUCUUGGAAAAACAAGGAGGACUAUUUCACAUCGGAGGCCAUAAAUACACUUCACUCGGCAUUCGGAACUCGCUGGGGUUCGGGGAAGAGGAGCCUGCCAGGAUGAGAGCUGCCUGACAUCAUCCGGAUCCGGUCCAGGACCAUCAGACACCUGCUGAGCCUCCCAGUGUAAUUCCACGGCAGCUGCUGCCCUAGCCCACAAGUGCACAAGCGGGAACAUGAGCUGUUUGGAUCGCUUGCCUCAAACAUUGUUCUCCGGAGUGUUUGAAAAAGGCCUAAUGAAAUGUGACUCAGAAAUAACUGACAAGUGCCAGCCUCACCUUCUUAUUGUUUCAUCAAAAUGGGAAAGACAGUGAGGAGAAGAGUCAACCUUCUCCAUGAGAUCUGCUGUCCCAACUUGCCCGCAACUUGCAGACUGACUGAAAUGUUGACACAGAGUUGACAUCUCCACUUGAUUUAUGGAGAGCUUGAACGGCGGGGAAAAAAUUAAACAUUAUAAAUCAAUGAGUAACAUCCAUAACCCUGAAGUGCUUGUUGUAA